RNAcentral lists this ribosomal RNA (668 nucleotides) under Virgibacillus sp. YIM KMY6. RNAcentral describes it as "bacterial SSU rRNA". It matches the Rfam family "Bacterial small subunit ribosomal RNA", at positions 29 to 664 of the family's 1533-position model. Lineage: Bacteria; Bacillati; Bacillota; Bacilli; Caryophanales; Bacillaceae. The record is from RNAcentral.
ACGAACGCUGGCGGCGUGCCUAAUACAUGCAAGUCGAGCGCAGGAAGCAAGCUGAUCCCCUUCGGGGGUGACGCUUGUGGAAUGAGCGGCGGACGGGUGAGUAACACGUGGGCAACCUGCCUGUAAGACUGGGAUAACCCCGGGAAACCGGGGCUAAUACCGGAUAAUACUUUCUUUUGCAUAAAGGAAAGUUGAAAGGCGGCUUCGGCUGUCACUUACAGAUGGGCCCGCGGCGCAUUAGCUAGUUGGUGAGGUAACGGCUCACCAAGGCGACGAUGCGUAGCCGACCUGAGAGGGUGAUCGGCCACACUGGGACUGAGACACGGCCCAGACUCCUACGGGAGGCAGCAGUAGGGAAUCUUCCGCAAUGGACGAAAGUCUGACGGAGCAACGCCGCGUGAGUGAUGAAGGUUUUCGGAUCGUAAAACUCUGUUGUUAGGGAAGAACAAGUUGGGUAGUAACUGACCCAACCUUGACGGUACCUAACCAGAAAGCCACGGCUAACUACGUGCCAGCAGCCGCGGUAAUACGUAGGUGGCAAGCGUUGUCCGGAAUUAUUGGGCGUAAAGCGCUCGCAGGCGGUCCUUUAAGUCUGAUGUGAAAUCUCGCGGCUCAACCGCGAACGGUCAUUGGAAACUGGAGGACUUGAGUACAGAAGAGGAGAGGUG